GACGAACGCUGGCGGCGUGCCUAAUACAUGCAAGUUGAGCGAUGAAGAUUGGUGCUUGCACCAAUUUGAAGAGCAGCGAACGGGUGAGUAACGCGUGGGGAAUCUGCCUUUGAGCGGGGGACAACAUUUGGAAACGAAUGCUAAUACCGCAUAAUAACUUUAAACAUAAGUUUUAAGUUUGAAAGAUGCAAUUGCAUCACUCAAAGAUGAUCCCGCGUUGUAUUAGCUAGUUGGUGAGGUAAAGGCUCACCAAGGCGAUGAUACAUAGCCGACCUGAGAGGGUGAUCGGCCACAUUGGGACUGAGACACGGCCCAAACUCCUACGGGAGGCAGCAGUAGGGAAUCUUCGGCAAUGGACGCAAGUCUGACCGGGCAACGCCGCGUGAGUGAAGAAGGUUUUCGGAUCGUAAAACUCUGUUGGUAGAGAAGAACGUUGGUGAGAGUGGAAAGCUCAUCAAGUGACGGUAACUACCCAGAAAGGGACGGCUAACUACGUG
Molecule: ribosomal RNA, 497 nt
Filed under: uncultured bacterium
Lineage: Bacteria
Description: partial 16S ribosomal RNA
Rfam family: Bacterial small subunit ribosomal RNA
Source: RNAcentral